AUCCUUCUUUGAUGGUUGAUCAGGUGCCUCCUUCUUUUUGAUUUAGACUCUUUCAAAGAUGGAAAGUAAAAGGAGGAGUUUCAGAUCUGAGACGCUCUCAGGAAACUCAAGAUGGAGGGAGGAAAGAUAUGAAAACAAAAAACCCUAGAAGAAGACCCUCUUCUUCUUCACGUUUUUCUCUCUAGACACCCUAACUUGCAUCUUUUAUAUCUCCACGACCCAAAGGU
Molecule: long non-coding RNA, 227 nt
Filed under: Elaeis guineensis (African oil palm)
Lineage: Eukaryota; Viridiplantae; Streptophyta; Magnoliopsida; Arecales; Arecaceae
Description: long non-coding RNA (EGUI_LNC081436)
Source: RNAcentral